Molecule: non-coding RNA, 445 nt
Organism: Rhopilema esculentum
Lineage: Eukaryota; Metazoa; Cnidaria; Scyphozoa; Rhizostomeae; Rhizostomatidae
Source: RefSeq, a predicted model, not a curated record
UUGAAUCUUUUCAGAAUUCAACAAUCAGUGAUUUUCAGAUAAUACUAUACUCUGUAUUUAGCAUAUUCCUCGCCUUUUAGUCCAUGUUUUGUAGGUUUCAAUAGCUUGCAAAAAAUAACGAAGUGAACAAUUUACAGCUCUCCAGAAAAAUCAAACAACCAGAUCUUCGUUUCUACUGCUAUCAUUAUUUCCCCUUUAAUUUCUGCAGACAUUAAAGUUCAAGGUGCAAAUGCUGUUGUACUUGGCAGAAGCAAGAUUGUUGGUUCUCCCAUGGCAAAUCUUUUGACGUGGAAUCAUGCUACAGUUACAAUUUGUCAUUCUAGAACAAAGAAUUUGCGAGAUGUUGUAAGAAGUGGAGAUAUUGUUGUUGCUGCAGUUGGUGUAGCUGAAAUGGUCAAGGUAUGCUUCUCUUAAUUUUUCUAUGAAAUAAAAAUAGGAUUUUUGU